This 26-nucleotide non-coding RNA is filed under the name Homo sapiens (human). Lineage: Eukaryota; Metazoa; Chordata; Mammalia; Primates; Hominidae. The record is from RNAcentral.
UCUGAUGCUGCUUUCUCAGUGGUCCU